AUUGAACGCUAGCGGCAGGCCUAACACAUGCAAGUCGAGCGAGCGGCGGACGGGUGAGUAAUGUAUGGGGACUGCACGAUAGAGGGGGAUAACUACUGGAAAAGGUAGCUAAUACCGCAUACUAUCGGAUAACCAAUAUGGGAUUAGCUAGUUGGUGAGGUAAUGGCUCACCAAGGCGACGAUCCCUAGCUGGUCUGAGAGGAUGAUCAGCCACUCUGAGACGGAGACACGGCCCAGACUCCUACGGAGUCAGCAGUGGGGAAUAUUGCACAAUGGGCUCAAGCAUGAUGCGUCCAUGACGCGUGUAUGAAGAAGGCCUUAGGGUUGUAAAGUACGUUCAGCGGGGAGGCGUUACCCGCAGAAGAAGCACCGGCUAACUCCUUGCCAGCCGCCGCGGUAAUAC
This 403-nucleotide ribosomal RNA is filed under the name uncultured bacterium. RNAcentral describes it as "partial 16S ribosomal RNA". It matches the Rfam family "Bacterial small subunit ribosomal RNA", at positions 30 to 526 of the family's 1533-position model. The record is from RNAcentral.